UAGCUCAGUCGGUUAGAGCAUGGUGCUAAUAACACCAGGGUUGUGGGUUUGAUCCCUGU
This 59-nucleotide transfer RNA is filed under the name Manacus vitellinus (golden-collared manakin). It matches the Rfam family "tRNA", at positions 8 to 63 of the family's 71-position model. Rfam says of the family: Transfer RNA (tRNA) molecules are approximately 80 nucleotides in length. Their secondary structure includes four short double-helical elements and three loops (D, anti-codon, and T loops). The record is from Rfam by way of RNAcentral. Lineage: Eukaryota; Metazoa; Chordata; Aves; Passeriformes; Pipridae.